GAUGAACGCUGGCGGCGUGCCUAAUACAUGCAAGUCGAGCGAACGGACGAGAAGCUUGCUUCUCUGAUGUUAGCGGCGGACGGGUGAGUAACACGUGGAUAACCUACCUAUAAGACUGGGAUAACUUCGGGAAACCGGAGCUAAUACCGGAUGAUAUUUUGAACCGCAUGGUUCAAAAGUGAAAGACGGUCUUGCUGUCACUUAUAGAUGGAUCCGCGCUGCAUUAGCUAGUUGGUAGGUAACGGCUUACCAAGGCAACGAUGCAUAGCCGACCUGAGAGGGUGAUCGGCCACACUGGAACUGAGACACGGUCCAGACUCCUACGGGAGGCAGCAGUAGGGAAUCUUCCACAAUGGGCGAAAGCCUGACGGAGCAACGCCGCGUGAGUGAUGAAGGUCUUCGGAUCGUAAAACUCUGUUAUUAGGGAAGAACAUAUGUGUAAGUAACUGUGCACAUCUUGACGGUACCUAAUCAGAAAGCCACGGAUAACUACGUG
Molecule: ribosomal RNA, 496 nt
Filed under: uncultured bacterium
Lineage: Bacteria
Description: partial 16S ribosomal RNA
Rfam family: Bacterial small subunit ribosomal RNA
Source: RNAcentral